CCCUAUACAGGAGGAUAGCUUUCGGAAACGAGAAUUAAUACUCCAUAAAAUUAUCAUGAGGCAUCUUGUGGUAAUUAAAGAUGAGUCGGUAUAGGAUGGGCGUGCGUCCGAUUAGUUAGUUGGUGCGGUAACGGCGUACCAAGACGAUGAUCGGUAGGGGUUCUGAGAGGAAGAUCCCCCACACGGGCACUGAGACACGGGCCCGACUCCUACGGGAGGCAGCAGUAAGGAAUAUUGGACAAUGGGUGGAAGCCUGAUCCAGCCAUGCCGCGUGCAGGAAGAAGGUCCUAUGGAUUGUAAACUGCUUUUGCAGGGGAGAAAUAAGGUGAUUUUAUCACCGAUGAUAGUACCUUGCGAAUAAGCAUCGGCUAACUUCGUGCCAGCAGCCGCGGUAAGACGAAGGAUGCGAGCGUUAUCCGGAUUCACUGGGUUUAAAGGGUGCGUAGGCGGGUUAAGAAGUCUCAAGUUAAAGAUUGGUGCUUAACGUCAGGAUUGCUUGAGAUACUCUUAAUCUUGAGAUAGUGUGACGUUACUGAAAUAUGGCAAGUAGAGGUGAAAUUCAUAGAUAUGCCAUAGAACACCGAAAGCGAAGGCAGGUAACGAAUACUAAUCUGACGCUGAGUGCACGAAAGCGUGGGGAUCAAACAGGAUUAGAUACCCUGGUAGUCCACGCUGUAAGCGAUGAUGACUUGUUGUUCGGGGCAUAAGUUCUGAGUGACAAAGCGAAAGCGAUAAGUCAUCCACCUGGGGAGUACGCCGGCAACGGUGAAACUCAAAGGAAUUGGCGGGGGCCCGCACAAGCGGAGGAGCAUGUGGUUUAAUUCGAUGGUACGCGAGGAACCUUACCUGGGCUUGAAAGUUAGGGACGGACGCUGAAAGGUGUCUUUCGUAGCAAUACGACCCGAAACUAGGUGCUGCAUGGCUGUCGUCAGCUCGUGCCGUGAGGUGUUUGGUUAAGUCCAUAAACGCGCGCAACCCCUAUUGUUAGUUGCCAACAGGUAAAGCUGGGGACUCUAACAAAACUGCUUCGGUAACGGAGAGGAAGGAGGGGAUGACGUCAAGUCAUCACGGCCCUUACGUCCAGGGCUACACACGUGCUACAAUGGUAGAUAACAGAGGGCAGCGAACUUGUAAAAGGGAGCCAAUCCCCUAAACUCUACCCCAGUUCGGAUUGAGGUCUGCAACUCGACCUCAUGAAGCUGGAUUCGCUAGUAAUCGCGCAUCAGCCACGGCGCGGUGAAUACGUUCCCGGGCCUUGCACACACCGCCCGUCAAGCCAUGGGAGUCGGGGGUGCCUAAAGUUGAUUCCCGAAAGGGGUUGCCUAGGGCAAAACCGAUGACUGGGGC
RNAcentral lists this ribosomal RNA (1347 nucleotides) under uncultured bacterium. RNAcentral describes it as "16S ribosomal RNA". It matches the Rfam family "Bacterial small subunit ribosomal RNA", at positions 129 to 1481 of the family's 1533-position model. The record is from RNAcentral.